GUCCCAAGUUAAGAUGUUCAGCCCUGAUGCACUUAAACAGCAAUUUUUUUCUUACUGCUGCUGUCUUUGUGUUUUUGUGUAUUCAGACUCUUGUACUGUGGGACCUUGGGAUGCCUUUGGAGCAGAGAUAUCUGAUAUUUCCAACCAGAUCCCUGAUAGAAAAAGAGGUUCUAUUCUUCAUAACUUCAGUAGGACUCAGAGAAGAGGGAAGCAGAGAGAAGUGUUGCUGGAACACAGGGAAGGAUCUCUCCUUGAGUGUCCCCUUGCCAAGAGCUGGGCCUCGUCAAGCUUCAGAUCACUCAGAUGUAGAAACAAUUCAGGACUUCCUUUAAAACCCAUCUGGCUUACUCAACCAAGUAGAACAAUAAAUCUUUAA
This 376-nucleotide long non-coding RNA is filed under the name Cyanistes caeruleus (blue tit). Its description in RNAcentral is "lncRNA (ENSCCEG00000006705.1)". Lineage: Eukaryota; Metazoa; Chordata; Aves; Passeriformes; Paridae. The record is from RNAcentral.